AUUGAACGCUGGCGGAAUGCUUUACACAUGCAAGUCGAGCGGCAGCGCGGCCUUCGGGCUGGCGGCGAGCGGCGAACGGGUGAGUAAUGCAUCGGAACAUGCCCAGUCGUGGGGGAUAACACUUCGAAAGAAGUGCUAAUACCGCAUACGUCCUGAGGGGGAAAGCGGGGGAUCGCAAGACCUCGCGCGAUUGGAGUGGCCGAUGUCAGAUUAGCUAGUUGGUGGGGUAAAGGCCUACCAAGGCGACGAUCUGUAGCUGGUCUGAGAGGAUGAUCAGCCACACUGGGACUGAGACACGGCCCAGACUCCUACGGGAGGCAGCAGUGGGGAAUUUUGGACAAUGGGGGCAACCCUGAUCCAGCCAUUCCGCGUGAGUGAAGAAGGCCUUCGGGUUGUAAAGCUCUUUCGGCAGGAACGGAACGGUGGGCUCUAACAUAGUCCGCUAAUGACGGUACCUGAAGAAGAAGCACCGGCUAACUACGUG
This 484-nucleotide ribosomal RNA is filed under the name uncultured bacterium. RNAcentral describes it as "partial 16S ribosomal RNA". It matches the Rfam family "Bacterial small subunit ribosomal RNA", at positions 29 to 507 of the family's 1533-position model. The record is from RNAcentral.